Molecule: ribosomal RNA, 499 nt
Filed under: embryophyte environmental sample
Lineage: Eukaryota; Viridiplantae; Streptophyta
Description: eukaryotic LSU rRNA
Rfam family: 5.8S ribosomal RNA (bases 80-235)
Source: RNAcentral
UCAGGAACACUGUGCCUAACCCGGGGGCAUGUCUAGCUUGCUAGCCGUCCCUCGUGUUGCAAAGCUAUUUAAUCCACACGACUCUCGGCAACGGAUAUCUCGGCUCUCGCAUCGAUGAAGAACGUAGCGAAAUGCGAUACCUGGUGUGAAUUGCAGAAUCCCGCGAACCAUCGAGUCUUUGAACGCAAGUUGCGCCCGAGGCCACUCGGCCGAGGGCGCGCCUGCCUGGGCGUCACGCCAAAACACGCUCCCAACCACCCUCAACGGGAUUCGGGAUGCGGCAUCUGGUCCCUCGUCUCUCAAGGGACGGUGGACCGAAGAUUGGGCUGCCGGCGUACCGCGCCGGACACAGCGCAUGGUGGGCGUCCUCGCUUUAUCAAUGCAGUGCAUCCGGCGCGCAGCUGGCAUUAUGGCCUUUGAACGACCCAACAAACGAAGCGCACGUCGCUUCGACCGCGACCCCAGGUCAGGCGGGACUACCCGCUGAGUUUAAGCAUAU